Molecule: transfer RNA, 72 nt
Organism: Stagonospora sp.
Lineage: Eukaryota; Fungi; Ascomycota; Dothideomycetes; Pleosporales; Massarinaceae
Rfam family: tRNA
About the family: Transfer RNA (tRNA) molecules are approximately 80 nucleotides in length. Their secondary structure includes four short double-helical elements and three loops (D, anti-codon, and T loops).
Source: Rfam
AGCUGAGUGGCGCAGCGGAAGCGCGCCGGGCUCAUAACCCGGAGGACAAUGGAUCGAAACCAUUCUUAGCUA